RNAcentral lists this transfer RNA (86 nucleotides) under Tupiella akineta. RNAcentral describes it as "tRNA-Ser". It matches the Rfam family "tRNA". Rfam says of the family: Transfer RNA (tRNA) molecules are approximately 80 nucleotides in length. Their secondary structure includes four short double-helical elements and three loops (D, anti-codon, and T loops). Further hydrogen bonds mediate the characteristic L-shaped molecular structure. tRNAs have two regions of fundamental functional importance: the anti-codon, which is responsible for specific mRNA codon recognition, and the 3' end, to which the tRNAs corresponding amino acid is attached (by aminoacyl-tRNA synthetases). tRNAs cope with the degeneracy of the genetic code in two manners: having more than one tRNA (with a specific anti-codon) for a particular amino acid; and 'wobble' base-pairing, i.e. permitting non-standard base-pairing at the 3rd anti-codon position. Lineage: Eukaryota; Viridiplantae; Chlorophyta; Ulvophyceae; Ulotrichales; Tupiellaceae. The record is from RNAcentral.
GGAUAGUUGGCCGAGCAGGUUAAGGCGCUAUUUUGCUAAAAUAGUUGUGUUAAAACACUACAUUGGUUCGAAUCCAAUACUAUCCG